GUGAAACUCAAGAAUGGGUAUCAGGAGGUUAGAAAAGCUGUUCUGGAUAAUGACUUUUGGAAGAUGCUGGAGAUCAUUUUGGCAUUUAUUAAACCAAUAUGGGAUGUGAUUUGCUGCUGUGAUUCAGACAAGGCUUGUAUUUGCUUUAUCUGCCUCUGGCUCUUUUCUCCGCUCCUAUGAUCUUUGGUUAUCCAGAGCUUAAAUGUGUUCCUAGUUCGACAGAUCCUGGUGGUUAGGCUUCAAGACACCAUUG
This 253-nucleotide unclassified non-coding RNA is filed under the name Hevea brasiliensis (rubber tree). Lineage: Eukaryota; Viridiplantae; Streptophyta; Magnoliopsida; Malpighiales; Euphorbiaceae. The record is from RNAcentral.